CCUUCAGUAACGGCGAGUGAUCAAGGGAAGAGCCCAACACUGAAGACUGUGCCCAGUUGGCUACUAGUCAAUGUGGUGUUUAGGUUGUUCCGGCGGAGUCGCUGCUCCACCCUAAGUCCAUGAAUGAGUAUGGUAAAUGGACAUGGCCCACAGAGGGUGACAGGCCCGUGGGGGUGGAGGUCAGGCAGGCCAGCGACGCCCUGGAUAGACCUUGGAGUCGGGUUGUUUGUGAUUGCAGCCCAAAGUGGGUGGUAAACUCCAUCUAAGGCUAAAUACUAGCACGAGUCCGAUAGCAAACAAGUACCGUGAGGGAAAGUUGAAAAGUACUUUGAAGAGAGAGUAAACAGUGCGUGAAACCGAUCAGAGGUAAGCGGGUGGAGUUGAACUGCAAGCUCUGAGAAUUCAGCUGGUGAGUGUGGUUUGAGCUUGGUCAAGUCAGUUGGACUCUGUGGUUCGCGAAGCACUUAGCAAGUGUUGCGGGCCAUGGGUGUUCUUCGGGCUGACUCGCCGGUGCACUUUCUCAGAGUGGUCACCACGACCGGCAUCGCUGUCUGGCUGGUGGGGUUAAACCGGUUUUGCAAGGUCCUUGUGGCUCUGCUUGAUCGGGAUGGCAGGUAGCUCGUUGGCUUGCUUGCGAGCCUUCGAGUGUAAUCAGCUGACCACAUCGGUUCUGUGCAGUAUGUCGGAGACGGCGGCUAGUGCGCGUGCGUGCAUAGCUGGUCGGCCUGUCCGGGUUUGGUUGUUACGUGCCUGUUUAUUCAGGCCUGAUGAUGGCUCGGAUUCAGUUCCGGCUGGCUGUUGCGUGCGUGCACAAUAACAGGGCCCAAAUUCUGUGGUGUAGUGGUUAACUAAUCCACCC
Molecule: ribosomal RNA, 859 nt
Filed under: Lecithodendrium skrjabini
Lineage: Eukaryota; Metazoa; Platyhelminthes; Trematoda; Plagiorchiida; Lecithodendriidae
Description: partial large subunit ribosomal RNA
Rfam family: Eukaryotic large subunit ribosomal RNA
Source: RNAcentral